Molecule: long non-coding RNA, 545 nt
Filed under: Capsicum annuum
Lineage: Eukaryota; Viridiplantae; Streptophyta; Magnoliopsida; Solanales; Solanaceae
Description: long non-coding RNA (CANN_LNC010240)
Source: RNAcentral
CGGAUGUUGCGCUGGAUGUGUGGACUGACUCGAGGGGAUAGAGUUCGGAAUGAGACUAUCCGGGAGAAGGUUGGUGUGACUUCAGUGGAGUGUAAGAUGCGGGAAGCACGAUUGAGAUGGUUCGGACACGUGAAGAGGAGGGGCAUGGAUGCCCCGGUCCGUAGGUGUGAGAGGCUAGCGUUGGAUGGUUUUAGGCGGGGUAGGGGUAGGCCGAAGAAGUACUAGGGUGGGGUGAUUAGGCGGGACAUGGAACAGUUACAGCUCACCGAGGACAUGACCCUAGAUAGGAAGGUCUGGAAGAUGCGAAUUACGGCAGAGGAUUAGGGCCAGUUUGGGUCGCUAGUGUAGGGAUUACUUGGUGGGGGUUUUAUUCCUGUUAUGAUUCCGUGUUCCGUGUUCCAUGUUUUAUUACGAAUCUGUGUGCUUUCCUCUGCUUUCCUCUGUUUUAUAUUACUUAUGGGUGCCGUAUUUAUGUUAUGUAAUCUGCUUCUGUGCUUUACUAUGUGUUUGUGUGGUAUCUCGUGCCUUGAGCCGGGGGUCUAUCG